AAGGGCUUUUGUCUUUGUUGAUGACCUAAACAUGCCUGCCAAGGAGAAAUAUGGUGCCCAGCCUCCCAUUGAACUGCUGCAGCAAUGGAUUGACCACGGCUACUGGCUUGACAGCUUUACACGGCAGUCUCAGCCUGUGAUCCCUCAGUGCUUUUCAGAGAGCAGCAUAAAAGUUGGCAGGUAGGAAGUCCCAAGAAAAUCAUGCCCUUGUGUUUGGAUUAUCUGUCAGCCCCUACUCCCUAAGAACUUGUGAACCAGUUUUGACACAGC
Long non-coding RNA from Chiroxiphia lanceolata (lance-tailed manakin), 270 nucleotides. RefSeq lists it as uncharacterized. Lineage: Eukaryota; Metazoa; Chordata; Aves; Passeriformes; Pipridae. The record is from RefSeq and is a predicted model, not a curated record. The transcript has 3 exons.